AGUGGGGGUUUACCCUCAGCAGGGUUCUGACUGGUGUUUCCUUGUGUACUGCAGGCUGUGCAGUGUCUCUGGAGUUGGUGGAGCAUUUAUCUUUGCUGGUUCCUGGGCCAGUUUUACUGAUUAUUUCCUGCCUGUGGGCCUCUGCACCUGGAAAGAAUUAUGAACUUGGGCUUUAUACUCAUCACUGGCCCCUGCAUGGGGCUCCAAUUCCUGUGAACACUCCUGUUGUCUCUGCAGCUAGAGGAAGGCUUCAGUGUCGUUGCUACCAUUCCCUCAUCCUUAGGACAGAGUUCUGGCUCCUGUUUGGAGGCCAGGUCAUCUCUAAGCAAACUGACAGUUGGGGAUAGCCCCUUAAUUCUGAUUUGCUGCAUCCACUGGGGGCUUCUGCUCUAGACUCCCUUUCCCACAGGGGCCUCAGAUCCCAACCCCUAAUUGAUUCAACAUGCCCCUCUUCCUACAGUUCAAGGAGAUCUUUUAGGUGUGGCUCUUGCCCAGCCCUCUAGCUCCAAGCUGCUUCUUAAUUUCUACCAGGUAGGGAUUUCACUCUCUUGAUUUUGAGCUGAGAUAUGUAUUGAAUAUAGUAUUGCUUUAUUUUAUUCACAAUUUCCCAUCUGAUGAUAAUGAGAAGAAAUUCUUUCUGGGGCAACUCAGGCUACUAUAUAUGUGGGUUUAAUUUGCCCCCACAAAAAUACUACACACUGGGGAGUUUAAACAACAUACAUUUAUUUUCUCACUGUUGCAAAGGCUGGAAAUCUAAGAUAAGAUGUUGGCAGGGUUAAUUGCUUCUGAGGCCUCUCUCCUUGGCUUGUAGACAGCUGUCUUCUCCCUGUGUUUCUUUUACUCUCUUCCUUCUGUCUGUGUACAGUUUUAAUCUCCUCUCUUUACAGGGUCAUCAAUCAUGUUGGCUUGGGGCCUUCUCUAAUGACCUAUUUUAACUUAUUCACCUCUUCAAAAUGCCUUAUCUUUAAAUAUAGUCACAUUCUGAAUUAUUGGGGGUUAGGACUUUAACGCAUAGAUUUUUAGAAAACACAGUUCAUCCCAUGGGAAUAGCAAAUCCUUUCUCAUACAUAAAAAAAUUUGGCUAGGAUGGUAUCUAUAAUAAUAAUAUUAAACACUAGGAAUUUAAUAAUUCAGUGACUCUGAUGGCCUACCAAGUUCAAGUCACUCAUAGAUAGAAUAUUCUGUGGCAACCAGGGUUCAUCAAUUUACCUUCAUUUUUGAGAAGACGGAUACAGACAAAUGGUAGGCUGUGACUUAUCAAGUUACUUCCUCAGUGCUUCCACAUCCAGUCUCUUUCAUAAGGCAUUUAUCAAUGUCUGCUGUUUGCCAAGAACUCUCCUAGGCUCUGGGAACAAAGUGAUGAACACUGUGGAUCAGGUCUCAAUAUUCAUGAAACUUAUGAUGGAGGGAGAGAAGAUACACACAUAUAUAUGUUACAAGGAUUUAUACUCUAGAAUUAGAAAUCAGAUCAAAUGUCUGCUUUUCCCUGUCUUGUUAGUCAUUCAUACUGGAAACCUGGGCACAGUGUUAGAAUCUGCUUUAAGAGGCCUUCUAGACAACUACUCACUAUCUCCCAUGUUGGUUUGUCUUCCUAAAUCCUAUAAAAUCCAUGUUCUUCUGUCAAUCCCCACUUCCAAUGCCGUCAUUACUAUACUGUAUGAUCAUUUUUCUCUUUGUUCCUUAGCAUGACUAAAACUGCAAUUUGUUAAUCUAGAUAGUCUUUGAAUAAUGUCCUAGCUCUGCUUUCUUGUCUUGGGGAAAUUAAUUUUAACUUCUCUGAGCCACAGUUUCCUCAUAUUUAAAAGAAGGACCAAAUGUUUCUUACCUUCUAGGAUUAUUGUAAGACUUGAAAGAAUACAGUGUACAUAAAACUUUGAUAAUGGUGUCUAUUGCAUAAUACAUAUUUAAAAGAAUGGGAGCUAUUAUUGUAUUAUUAUUUUUACCUGUGUCACUGUAAUAAUGUUGCAGAGUUCUUGUACAGAGAGACAGAACACUGAGGCUUAUUUUCAGGAAGUGGGAAUGCCGGCAUUGUCUUCAGCAGAUUCAUAUCCAAAGGCUGAGCCCCAAAAACAGUGGGGUGCUGUCUUAUAUACCCUCCGUUAUUUUUUGUUUUACACUUUGGUCCCUUUGUCCCCCUUAUCAGAUAACAUACAUUCUGUAAAUUCUGGUUCGAUGGUCUAUGUUACAGAGCUGCACAUGGAUAUUGAUCGUGUCUUGCUGCUGCAGAGUUACACAUGUGUAUGCAGAUGCUGGUUAUGCCACAUGGCUUUCCCUUUGUUCUGGGAGGGCCCUUACCACAAUUACUUCCUGGUUGUACUGCUAAUUUACUUUCCACAAAGCUGCUGGUGUGAUCUUCUUAAAUCUCAAAUCUGAUUAUAUUAAGUUCCUGUAAGGUCUGUUGUUGACAUUCCUCAAAAGUCAAGAGAAAGGUACAUUGCAUUUCAGUUUCUACUACUCUACUCCAACUUCUGUCAAGCUUUGUUUGGACAAAUUAUCUCAUUGUUUCAUGACAUUGGAAGAUUUUAUGACUUUCCUUUAUGUUUAUAAUUUCACUGGGCUGCUCUUUAUUUUUUUGUUGUUUUUGUUUUUUGUCUUUUUACCAUUUCUUGGGCCACUCUUGCAGCAUAUGGAGGUUCCCAGGCUAGGGGUCAAAUAGAAGGUAUAGCCGCCAGCCUAUGCCAGAGCCACAGCAAUGCAGGAUCCAAGCCACGUCUGCAACCUACACCACAGCUCACAGCAACAUCGGAUCCUUAACCCACUGAGCAAGGCCAGGGAUUGAACCCGCAACCUUAUGGUUCCUAGUCUAGGAACCUUAUGGUUCCUAGAUUCGUUAACCACUGAGCCACGACGGGAACUCCCUGCUCUUUCUUUUAGAAGGCUUUCCCUCUACUUGCUUAUGUUGGUGACUUUAUUUCUGUCACAACUCAAGCACUGUCUUCCCCAAGUGCUUUUCCUGGUGCCUUUGAACCAAGACCCCUCUCUGUGUCUCUGUGUCUUUCCCUGCACCUCUCUAUUGUCUUGUUUUCAAAUGCUCAUGUCAGUUUAUCUGUUGCCUAUCUUUAUUUCUUCAAUUCUAACACUGUUUUUUAAAGGCCAGAUACUUACUAAUAUUACAAAUGUUUACAAAUGAUAUUACAAAUAUUUAAAAAUAUUAUACUUACAAAUAUUUGAAGUGAUUUAAAUGUGGCCUAAGGUGACCUAAUUGAUGUUGACUUAAAGGCAUCUUUUUUCUGAUUUGACCCCUGCUUGGGAACUUCCAUAUUCUGUGGGAGAGACUGU
Molecule: long non-coding RNA, 3279 nt
Filed under: Sus scrofa (pig)
Lineage: Eukaryota; Metazoa; Chordata; Mammalia; Artiodactyla; Suidae
Description: lncRNA (ENSSSCG00000060242.1)
Source: RNAcentral